Molecule: ribosomal RNA, 330 nt
Filed under: Triticum aestivum (bread wheat)
Lineage: Eukaryota; Viridiplantae; Streptophyta; Magnoliopsida; Poales; Poaceae
Description: partial small subunit ribosomal RNA
Source: RNAcentral
CAGUUUUAGGUCGAGGCCCUCCACACAGCCACUUAUCUUCUCAAUCGCCGCCCCUCUCGUGCCAUCAGCAGCCACAGUCCCUACUUCCAACUCCAUGGCCUCCGCCCCACCUACGACCAUCUUCGAGUGUUUGGGUACUUGUGCUAUCCCAACACGUAUGCAACCACACCGCAUAAUCUUUAUCCUCGCUCCUCCUGUUGCAUUUUUCUUGGGUAUCCCCUCAAGCACAAGGGCUACCGCUGCUACGACCUCCAAUAUCGUUGCAUUAUUGUCUCUCGUCACGUUGUUUUUGACGAAAAUUCAUUCCCGUACGCACCCGAUGAUGUAUAA